This 251-nucleotide ribosomal RNA is filed under the name uncultured Tulasnellaceae. RNAcentral describes it as "partial large subunit ribosomal RNA". It matches the Rfam family "Eukaryotic large subunit ribosomal RNA", at positions 72 to 319 of the family's 3401-position model. Lineage: Eukaryota; Fungi; Basidiomycota; Agaricomycetes; Cantharellales; Tulasnellaceae. The record is from RNAcentral.
GGAUUCCCCUAGUAACGGCGAGUGAAGCGGGAAGAGCUCAAAUUUUAAAUCUGGCGUCUUCGGGCGUCCGAGUUGUAAUCUAGAGAAGCGUUUUCGCGCCGGACCUACCAUAAGUUACCUCGAACGGUGCAUCAUAGAGGGUGAGAAUCCCGUAUGUUGGUGGGUGCUCCGGUGCAUGUGAUGCGCUCUCGACGAGUCGAGUUGUUUGGGAAUGCAGCUCAAAACGGGAGGUAAAUUCCUUCUAAAGCUAA